GUCUGUUUCGCUCUGUAUGUCUGAAAACAGAGAUGAGAACCAGUGUCAAAGCAGGACCAAGACGAGGAUGGCCUUGGCUAAACCACACACUCUCAGGUUCUUCAGCUGCAACUUCUGAAAGAGGAAACAUAACUUCACUGGUUUCACGGAGCGUCCAAGACA
Lemur catta (Ring-tailed lemur) is the source of this 162-nucleotide long non-coding RNA. RefSeq lists it as uncharacterized. The record is from RefSeq and is a predicted model, not a curated record. Lineage: Eukaryota; Metazoa; Chordata; Mammalia; Primates; Lemuridae. The transcript has 3 exons.